This 1824-nucleotide long non-coding RNA is filed under the name Canis lupus familiaris (dog). RNAcentral describes it as "lncRNA (ENSCAFG00845001532.1)". Lineage: Eukaryota; Metazoa; Chordata; Mammalia; Carnivora; Canidae. The record is from RNAcentral.
GGAACAUUAGUCCCUGAAGAUUUUCCAGGAGAAACAAGUUCCAAGGCGAAAGAAGUUCUACAUUUUGUAGAUCUCAUUUAGUAGAUUUCAAAAAUCACAAUUAGCAUGUGAAAGCCUCAGAGAAAUUCUCCGGGAAAUGGCAUGUUUUAACUUAGCAUUUAUUCAACCACACAGCCUCUUUCUUCUCUCCACGCCCAUUCUUUCUCUACGCCUUUGGCACUCCUCAAACAGAAUAUUCUGUAGAACACACACUGGAGAAUGAUGACCCCACACUGAGUUAGUAUCCAGCACAGCUUCCAGAAAGACAGCCCUCUACUCAACCACCCUGACCCUACCAUUCCUGGACCACUCUGAAAUUCAGAAUUCCCUCUUUAUACUAAAUGGGAUAAAAUCCACUGCCUUGCUGUAUCUGCCCACUGACCCUAGUUUUAUCCAUAAGAUGGUACAGAAUAAUCCUCGGUCAUAGAAGGACUUUAAGAGUUUUAGCCCUAUAGAAUUAAAUCUGUCUUCGCCACUUAGCUACUAGCUGGGAAAUUACCAAGACUCUGAUUUUUAGUUUCCUUAUCUAAAUGAUCUGCCUCUGAAGGUUGUUGUGACGGCUCUGUAAGAUGUGUAAGAUGUGUCAGAAUGCCGGACCGAGCGCCUGCCAUGUACGGUUACUCAGGAAAAGUGAGCUCCCUUGACUGCCCUCUUCCAUAGUUUCUCUCAUGGAUGGAGAUGGUAGUAGCCACGUCUCUCUGGCAUCCUCUCUUCUCCACACUAAACAGCCUCAGCUCUUUCUGACAUAGACAGUGGCUGUGAAUAGCAGACUAGAGGUUGGGUUGCCCCCCAAUACCCCAAGCAUCACAGGAAACAGAGACCGAGGGGGUAGGAGGUUGCCAAUGUGCUCUCUUAACAUUCUAUGUUUCCAAGUCUAAAUCCUGUUUUUUAAGUGGAACUGCCAUAAUAAUCAACAGAAUGUCUUUGAGAUCUUUUGAGGGAAAGUAUCACAUUGUUAUGAAGGUCGUGGAAAUGCCUUCUUUUCCUAGAUCAUCAUAGUAACGAUUUACACCUAACAAGUGUCAAAUAAUACUCUCUAAAUGCAAAAAACUACACUAUAAAAAUGAGAUACAGAUCUUCCAGCCAGGGAGGUGAGUGCUCACAUUUUCCCUGAUAGGGAAAGGAGUAUCUCUACCGAGGAAGUCAAGUCCACUUUCUAUUACCAAAAUCUUUGGAAGGCUUCCUGGCACAGGGCAUCUCUAACAGUAAAUAGUUCAAAAAUUAUUCAUGUUUAGCUUUACAAAGUAGCAACAAAUUGGACUUUUCUGAGUGUGUGGCAUUUGCUUUUUCCAGUAGGAGAUGAUUUAAAAAUAUAUAAAGAGUGGCGGCAGUUAAAUGGAGUUAAAUGGGGCAGUUGUUGCCCCAAGCCUGAUGUGCUCUGUUCCAUUAGGGUCAUUCCCACUACAGUUGGUACAGGAGUCAUCUCUCCCACUCAUUUGCUUAGUUGUGUUUCUUAGACUAUGUCAGAGAGGUACAACUGGUCCUGCUUAAUAGGUUAAGGACGAUCGUAGGUGGAAGCAGCACCUCUAUUCUGUAUUCAAAUUCCCAGUUUGAGGCUUGGUGUGGUCUGAUGGAAUAACUAUGAUUGCCAAUAUCACAAAAGACACUGAACUUCACACACGGCAUUCUCGUUCAUGUCACAUAACUUGUUUGAAAACUGCAUUUGGGAUCAGUAAUCUAUUGGGUAGUUAUCUUCAGGACACACUUUCUUCAACAUGACACCUCAGCCAAGUAGCCUUUAACUAAAAGCCCUUUCCCCUCUCUAAUUUGUCUCAUUGUCUUCCU